RNAcentral lists this ribosomal RNA (497 nucleotides) under uncultured bacterium. RNAcentral's name for it is "partial 16S ribosomal RNA". It matches the Rfam family "Bacterial small subunit ribosomal RNA", at positions 28 to 507 of the family's 1533-position model. The record is from RNAcentral.
GAUGAACGCUGGCGGCGUGCCUAACACAUGCAAGUCGAGCGAACAGACGAGGAGCUUUCUCGUCGGACGGUAGCGGCGGACGUGAGAGUAACACGUGGACAACCUACCUAGAAGACUGGGAUAACUUCGGGAAACCGUAGCUAAUACCGGAUAAUAUAUUGAACCGCAUGGUGCAAUAGUUAAAGACGGUUUUGCGGUCACUUAUAGAUGGAUCCGCGCCGCAUUAGCUAGUUGGUAAGGUAACGGCUUACCAAGGCAACGAUGCGUAGCCGACCUGAGAGGGUGAUCGGCCACACUGGAACUGAGACACGGCCCAGACUCCUACGGGAGGCAGCAGUGGGGAAUCUUGCGCAAUGGGCGAAAGCCUGACCGAGCAACGCCGCGUGAAGGAUGAAGGUCUUCGGAUCGUAAAACUCUGUUGUUAGGAAAGAACAAAUGUGUGAGUAACUAUGCGCGUCAUGACGGUACCUAAUCAGAAAGCCCCGGCUAACUACGUG